This 348-nucleotide unclassified non-coding RNA is filed under the name Hevea brasiliensis (rubber tree). The record is from RNAcentral. Lineage: Eukaryota; Viridiplantae; Streptophyta; Magnoliopsida; Malpighiales; Euphorbiaceae.
AGUAAACAAAAUCUUCAAAUUCAAGAACAAUCUGGUUUUCAAAAUUGAUAAGGUGACUCUAAAUCUACAGCUCAAAAUGGCCAGGAAUAUGUCCUGAGAUAGAAAAAAAAAAUUGUUAUUCUCUGGCUGUAUUAACUGUGGAAAUAGCAAUCUUCAAAUGUUUGUCUUUCUCCUUGUUUCCUAAUAUUUGUCAUUUGAUAGAGCUUGCAUUUUUCCUUGAUGUGGUUUUUCUGGUUCCAUUAGUCCAUGUCUUUUCUUUUGUGUUAAUGAUGAAUUUGAUUUUUUGCAUCUGACAUAUUUCCUCAUCUUUCUUCUAUGCUAAUGCAGCGCAUACUGGAAAUCUGAAGA